AGAGUUUGAUCCUGGCUCAGAUUGAACGCUGGCGGCAGGCCUAACACAUGCAAGUCGGACGGUAGCACAGAGGAGCUUGCUCCUUGGGUGACGAGUGGCGGACGGGUGAGUAAUGUCUGGGGAUCUGCCCGAUAGAGGGGGAUAACCACUGGAAACGGUGGCUAAUACCGCAUAACGUCGCAAGACCAAAGAGGGGGACCUUCGGGCCUCUCACUAUCGGAUGAACCCAGAUGGGAUUAGCUAGUAGGCGGGGUAAUGGCCCACCUAGGCGACGAUCCCUAGCUGGUCUGAGAGGAUGACCAGCCACACUGGAACUGAGACACGGUCCAGACUCCUACGGGAGGCAGCAGUGGGGAAUAUUGGACAAUGGGCGAAAGCCUGAUCCAGCCAUGCCGCGUGUGUGAAGAAGGUCUUCGGAUUGUAAAGCACUUUAAGUUGGGAGGAAGGGCAGUUGCCUAAUACGUAACUGUUUUGACGUUACCGACAGAAGAAGCACCGGCUAACUCCGUGCCAGCAGCCGCGGUAAU
This 527-nucleotide ribosomal RNA is filed under the name uncultured endophytic bacterium. RNAcentral's name for it is "bacterial SSU rRNA". It matches the Rfam family "Bacterial small subunit ribosomal RNA", at positions 8 to 524 of the family's 1533-position model. The record is from RNAcentral.